RNAcentral lists this ribosomal RNA (204 nucleotides) under uncultured bacterium. RNAcentral's name for it is "partial 16S ribosomal RNA". It matches the Rfam family "Archaeal small subunit ribosomal RNA", at positions 471 to 675 of the family's 1478-position model. The record is from RNAcentral.
GAACACCGGCACCCCGAGUGGUCGGGACGUUUAUUGGGCCUAAAGCAUCCGUAGCCGGUUCUACAAGUCUUCCGUUAAAUCCACCUGCUCAACAGAUGGGCUGCGGAAGAUACUAUGGAGCUAGGAGGCGGGAGAGGCAAGCGGUACUCGAUGGGUAGGGGUAAAAUCCGUUAAUCCAUUGAAGACCACCAGUGGCGAAGGCGG